UUUACUGCCGAUCUCUGUAAGUUCUAAAUAACUGCAAAUUUGACCUAUAAACGCCGCGGAACGGUAUAUUUUUUUUCGUGUUUUUAAUAAGUGCUUAGAACGAACUUUCAAAUAAUACCAGUGAUUUGUUUGAACGGGAAUUAGUAAAUUACUUGGAGGGCAAAAGCUUCCUGGACCCGGGAGAGCUUGGUAUCUGAUCGGCGGGGGGCAUUUUCUCUAUAUAAGAAGAAGAUGGAGACUCGCUACCCACCCGAUAUAUUUUGUCGGACAGAUUUCUGUACAUUGCAGUGACAACUGUAUCCAGAUUUCAUCACAGGAAUGAAAGUUUUUCACUCUUUGGAAAAGCACCUGCAGCAGGGAGGGGACAUUCAUUAAGAUGGCCACAGAUUCCAAGACACUGAAGUGACAGGCCUCAAAUUUCAUACAUGUAUAUUGGUAAGUAUAAGGUCUUUGAAAAUUACAAAAUUGACUAAUUCUGGGAUAGGUAAAUAUGUAAGUAUAGGAAAAAGAGCACCAAAGACCCAGAUUUUGACAUCAUUUCCUGGUUGAACAAGAUGAAGCAGAGUAAUAAAUGGGUAGGCUUUACCUGAUUGGCUGAAUUGAGGUAUGUAAAUAUUUUCAUUUUAAAGUA
Molecule: long non-coding RNA, 631 nt
Organism: Saccostrea cuccullata (small rock oyster)
Lineage: Eukaryota; Metazoa; Mollusca; Bivalvia; Ostreida; Ostreidae
Exons: 3
Source: RefSeq, a predicted model, not a curated record